Molecule: small RNA, 757 nt
Filed under: Pan troglodytes (chimpanzee)
Lineage: Eukaryota; Metazoa; Chordata; Mammalia; Primates; Hominidae
Description: processed transcript
Source: RNAcentral
CGGCUAUGUGCAUUUAAAGAUCCGUAUCAGCAAGACCUUGGGAUAGGUGAGAGUAGAAUCUCUCAUGAAAAUGGGACAAUAUUAUGCUCGAAAGGUAGCACCUGCUAUGGCCUUUGGGAGAAAUCAAAAGGGGACAUAAAUCUUGUAAAACAAGGAUGUUGGUCUCACAUUGGAGAUCCCCAAGAGUGUCACUAUGAAGAAUGUGUAGUAACUACCACUCCUCCCUCAAUUCAGAAUGGAACAUACCGUUUCUGCUGUUGUAGCACAGAUUUAUGUAAUGUCAACUUUACUGAGAAUUUUCCACCUCCUGACACAACACCACUCAAGACGGGGUUUCACCGUGUUAGCCAGGAUGGUCUCGAUCUCCUGACCUCAUGAUCCGCCCGCCUCGGCCUCCCAAAGUGCUGGGAUUACAGGCGUGAGCCACCGCGCCUGCUGGAAAGGUCACUUAUUAUUCCUAUAGUUUUGUAUUGUUUGAAUCUUUAAUUUAAAAUGAGAAUAUAUUCAUGUAUUAUUUGUGUAACCAAUAACCUGCUUGUUAAUUUGGAAAAAGAGAAAAAUGACAUAAGUAGCAAGGAAAAAAAUAAUCUCCAAUAGUCUCUACACCCAUAUACAACCAUUGUUAAUAUUUAGAAUGUUUCUUUCCAGUCUUUUCUCUCUUAUUUUUGCGUAGCUGUAUUUGUAAUAUACAUCCAUUUUAGAUCCUGCCUUUUUGUUUAACAUAAAUAUUUUCCAGGUUACUAUAUAUGUUUCAUAG